UACGUAGGGUGCGAGCGUUAAUCGGAAUUACUGGGCGUAAAGCGUGCGCAGGCGGUUUUGUAAGCCAGAUGUGAAAUCCCCGGGCUCAACCUGGGAACUGCAUCCGGGACUGCAUUGCUAGAGUAUGGGAGAGGGAAGCGGAAUUUCUGGUGUAGCAGUGAAAUGCGUAGAUAUCAGAAGGAACAUCAGUGGCGAAGGCGGCUUCCUGGACCAAUACUGACGAUCAGGUGCGAAAGCGUGGGGAGCAAACAGG
RNAcentral lists this ribosomal RNA (253 nucleotides) under uncultured bacterium. RNAcentral describes it as "partial 16S ribosomal RNA". It matches the Rfam family "Bacterial small subunit ribosomal RNA", at positions 524 to 776 of the family's 1533-position model. The record is from RNAcentral.